CAGAGAACAGGUCUACACAAAACUGGUUUUUUGAGGCAGAAGUGUCCCACCAGAUGCAAGCAAUGGGAAAUCAGGAGGAAGACGAGGGAAGCUCAAGCACAAAGCUGUCAGGAUUCAAUGAAGAGACCACAGCUCCAAAUGAGUCACCUCCUUGUAAGAAGAAA
Long non-coding RNA from Coregonus clupeaformis (lake whitefish), 164 nucleotides. RefSeq lists it as uncharacterized. Lineage: Eukaryota; Metazoa; Chordata; Actinopteri; Salmoniformes; Salmonidae. The record is from RefSeq and is a predicted model, not a curated record. The transcript is spliced from 3 exons.